This 504-nucleotide ribosomal RNA is filed under the name uncultured bacterium. RNAcentral describes it as "bacterial SSU rRNA". It matches the Rfam family "Bacterial small subunit ribosomal RNA", at positions 19 to 518 of the family's 1533-position model. The record is from RNAcentral.
CUGGCUCAGGAUGAACGCUAGCGGCAGGCUUAACACAUGCAAGUCGAGGGGCAUCGGGAGUAGCAAUACUGCCGGCGACCGGCGCAAGGGUGCGUAACGCGUGAGCAACAUGCCCGUAUCAGGGGGAUAAUCCAUGGAAACGUGGUCUAAUACCCCAUAGUAAUUAUGUAAGGCAUCUUAUAUAAUUUAAAGCUUUGGUGGAUACGGAUUGGCUCGCGUGACAUUAGCUGGAUGGUAAGGUAACGGCUUACCAUGGCUACGAUGUCUAGGGGUUCUGAGAGGAAGGUCCCCCACACUGGAACUGAGACACGGUCCAGACUCCUACGGGAGGCAGCAGUGAGGAAUAUUGGACAAUGGAUGGAAAUCUGAUCCAGCCAUGCCGCGUGCAAGGAAGACGGCCCUAUGGGUUGUAAACUGCUUUUGUAUGGGAGCAAUAAGGGCUACGUGUAGUCCGAUGAGAGUACCAUACGAAUAAGCACCGGCUAACUCCGUGCCAGCCGCUGC